UGAAAUGUUAAGUCUGUUCCUCUCUCCACAGCUGCUGUGUGGUGGGCAUUUCCAGUUUUUAUUUCUUGGGUGGAAAUCAGCUUUCUUUCUUCAGGUCUGAGAUAAGCUAAUGUUAGUUGUUCACACAUUCUUUCAGUUAAAAUUAAUUAACUAUUAAUUAUUCAGGAGCCAAGAUCUCAGAGACUGCAGUCUUAUGUUACUCACAUGAGCCACACCUAGGCAGGAGAAGCAAAUAGGUAUGUGUUUUCCAUUCCACUGGUAAUUGUUCAUUUCACUUUUACAUGUCACUAAAACAAAAAUCUCCCACUUUUGCAUAACAGUGUAAGAUCAGCAGGAACUAUGUACGGUUAAACAGUUGAACUUGGAUUGAAUCCUACAUGCACCACACAGCCGACACUGCCCGAGCAAGGUGUACACACUUGGGAGGCUGGCACGAGAGAGAGAGAACCUCAAUGUUGGGCACCCUGUCCCUCCAGGAGAUGCCCAAGACGCGACGAAUGCGCCUUAACUGUAAGGUGUUGAGCCUUCUCUGCUUCUCAGUGUAUGUUGUCCAGGUCUCGCAGCUGUUGACACAAGCGUUGCACACUGCCAUCUUCUUUUUUGAAUGAGAGUUUGGAGCUCACCCAGGCUUGUACAGCGAGGCAGGCAAGAGUUGUUACCACCUUCUCGAUAUGCUAGUUGAUUCCUACAUCCUAGGAGAGGUCGUCACUGAUGAUGGACCCCAGGUUCAAAGGAACAUCUAUGCAAACCUGAUGCAUUUUGGAAACAAGUCCUGUGAACUGAUCAAGUUAAAAUAGAACUUUUUGGCCGCAAUGAGCAAAGGUAUGUUUGGAGAAAAAAGGGUGCAGAAUUUCAUGAAAAGUACCCCUCUCCAACUGUUAAGCACGGGGGUGGAUCGAGCAUGCUUUGGGCUUGUGUUGCAGCCAAUGGCACAGGGAAUGGCACAACUCUCUCCACUGGUAGAGGGAAGAAUGAAUUCAAUUAAAUACCAGCAAAUUCUGGAAAUAAACAUCACACAAUCUGUAAAAAAGCUGAAGAUGAAAAGAGGAUGGCUUCUACAACAGGAUAAUGAUCCUAAACACACCUCAAAAUCCACAAUGGACUACCUCAAGAGGCGCGAGCUGAAGGUUUUGCCAUAACCCUCACAGUUCCCUGAACUAAACAUCAUUGAGAAUCUGUGGAUAGACCGCAAAAGAGCAGUGCAUGCAAAACGGCCCAAGAAUCUCACAGAACUCGAAGGUCUUUUGCAAGGAAGAAUGGGCAAAAAUCCCCCAAGCAAGAAUUGAAAGACUCUUAGCCGGCUACAAAAAGCGUUUACAAGCUAUGAUACUUGCCAAAGUGGGUGUUACUAAGUGCUCACCAUGCAGGGUGCCCAAACUUUUGCUUCGGGCCCUUUUCCUUUUUUGUUAUUUUAAAACUG
This is a long non-coding RNA of Mobula hypostoma (lesser devil ray), 1420 nucleotides long. RefSeq lists it as uncharacterized. NCBI's taxonomy places the organism in Eukaryota, Metazoa, Chordata, Chondrichthyes, Myliobatiformes, Myliobatidae. The record is from RefSeq and is a predicted model, not a curated record. The transcript has 3 exons.